GGUGUGGUUUUAUGCUACAUGGUUAUUUCAGUCUUCAGUGUUGUAUUUUUACAGCUCGGGGCGUUAUUUUACUAUGGUGUUCCACGUGGCCAAUUUAUACCGCCAUUUUGUACCGCCAUUUUACCGUUUGUGUCGAAACUUUGAACUGGAUGGAUACAUGGUGAAGCGUGGGGUGGCGUGCAGGUGAAGCGUGCAGUGUCUACUGGACGACCAAGACCGCGGCAAGCAGUGAACAACAAAGUUGUGGCACGAUCUGACCCUGAUUAUGGGGACUCGUGAGGAGCCAGAAGAGCUAAAGGAAAAAGUUACGAACAUCCAGCAAGUGUGUGAGCAGUAUGCGGCCAACGUCCUCCCUGAUACGCCAAUCACCGACGGUGACGAACUGGUGGCGCUACCCGCCUACGGGCGCGGGGCGACGCUGGACGAUCUGAAGAACGAGCAGAGCUCCGUGAGUGUUCAGUCGUCCCGCCUCAACGUUCAGAGAGCGAGUUCGAGCUGCCACAGUCGAAGGUCGGUGAAGUUGCCACAAUCCUUGCAACUCAUGCCGUGUUUUAUCUUCCGUUCUGUUGACCAUGCAAGUGCCUCUUCGAGGUGCUCUACAAGAAGGCCCUAAACAUCUAUUUCACUAAGUAAAGCAUCGUAGAAGAUAGUGUGCUCCCUGGCUGAGUAGAGUGCAAGAUGCGCGUGCGAGAGUACUGGCAAUUGCGGUACGCCACUCUUGUCAUGUCGGCAGCUCAGAUCUAGCACAGACCCACAGACGAAGAGUGUAUACUGUAUACUGCGUGGUCUGCGUGCGUUUCAUGUUUCAAAGUUUUUCAUGUUUAAGCGCCAAGAGUACAAAGUACAGGGUGGCGCACGGAAAACCCCCGAAUUGAAACUUUAAUACCUUCCAUGAUUAUUAACCAAAUUUGAUGAUAUUUUCACACAAUGUACAUACGUAGAUACACGUUUGGGAUGAUAUUCAUCCAAGUUUUAGACAAAUGCAUUCACGCUCAGCUGAGUUGUGCACCUUAACGUGACCACUAUCGUUUUUCAGUACUUUCUCGA
Molecule: long non-coding RNA, 1047 nt
Filed under: Amphibalanus amphitrite
Lineage: Eukaryota; Metazoa; Arthropoda; Thecostraca; Balanomorpha; Balanidae
Description: uncharacterized LOC122373989
Source: RNAcentral